AUGGAUCAGUGGAACGAUCUGGUUGGGGUGGUUAACUCUUGGCAUCUUUCCGAUGAGACAGAUGGCAUUCGAUGGAGAUUGGGGAGUAAAGGUAAAUUCUCGACCAAAUCGGUAUAUUCCUAUCUGGAGAGAAAUCUGGCAGGAUGUGAUUUCAGGUGGAUAUGGAAAGCAAAAAUCCCUUUAAAAAUUCAGAUUUUUCUCUGGCAACUAUUCCAAGAUGCGGUUUUGACUCGAGAUGUCAUGAGAAGGCGAAAAUGGGCAGGAAAUCCUAAAUGCUCGUUUUGUAAUGAAGUGGAAACCUCACAACAUCUCUUUUUCACUUGUCCUGUGGCUAGGGUGGUGUGGAGGACAGUUGGGUGUGUUUUUGGCACAUCGUUGUGCCCAAACAACCUUUGGCAGUAUUUCUCCUGGUGUUACAUCUUCCUUCCUGAUGGGGCUAAAUUUUAUACUUUUGGUUUGGCAGCUAUGUGCUGGGCGAUUUGGAUCAGUCGCAAUCAGGCUACCUUUGAGCACAAGUCUCUUAAAAGUCCUUUUAAUGUGGUGUAUGCUGCUUGUGGUUUUUUGACAUACUGGGCAGGUUUGAUGGCUGGUGAGGACCGGGAGUCCAUGGAGCGUGGAGCCAAGAUGCUGAGGUCGAACGCGUCGGCGAUGAUGAGGAUCUGUGCACCACCGUCAACGACGAACUGA
RNAcentral lists this ribosomal RNA (687 nucleotides) under Triticum aestivum (bread wheat). Its description in RNAcentral is "partial small subunit ribosomal RNA". The record is from RNAcentral. Lineage: Eukaryota; Viridiplantae; Streptophyta; Magnoliopsida; Poales; Poaceae.